GGCAAGGUGGUGGCCUGGGCUCUCCUCCCAGGAGCCACCCUGCUCUCAGGGGUCCUAACAGCUUGGUCUUCCAGGCUUUGAGGGCCGUGGGUGUCUGUGUGCAAAUGAGCUGCUGUCUUCUGGGAGGAAGCAGUCUCUCUGUGGAAAGAGGCUUGGAGUUUAGCAUGGUGCCUGGCACAGGGCACAACCUCAUCGAAGGAAGGGUGCAGAGGAAAGAGGAAAUGACCCACACGCGUAUUCACACUCCAGGGGCGAGCGCACAGCCUUUUGCAGGAAUAAUAUAAGAAGAGCCCAACUUCAUUAAUUUGGAAUUUGCAAUAAUACAGACACUGCAAUCUUGAGCCCAAGCUUUAUAAUAACAAUACCACCUGCGUUUGAAUUCAAGGGAAAUGAAAACACAUCAGUGCAAAGACCUGCACCCAAGGCAGCAACCUUCAAAGUCGUGGAGAAGUGGAAGCCACUCAAAUGUCAUCAGCUGGUGAAUGGAUGAACAAAACGUGGCAUAUCGACAUAGGUGGUUAUUUGGCAAUAAAAAGGAAUGAGGUUCUA
Symphalangus syndactylus (siamang) is the source of this 549-nucleotide long non-coding RNA. RefSeq lists it as uncharacterized. The record is from RefSeq and is a predicted model, not a curated record. Lineage: Eukaryota; Metazoa; Chordata; Mammalia; Primates; Hylobatidae.